CCCCAGUAUUGGCAAAGUUGUGGUGUACAAGGGGAUUAACUGAAUGAGGUAAUGGUUGGAAGAGGCAUCGCUUGAAAGUAGCCUAGUGGUGAUGUAGGCAUGUGCAGGAGACUACCGUUGUGAUGGAACUAGUGGUGGACCGAUGAAUCAAGUCUUAGACGAUGCCGAGAAGGUGGUUCCAGAUGUCGAGGUAAUACCGGACUGAUAGGAGGACCCCUGGGCUGUGUGGCAGUUGAAGAGUGAGACUCAAGUUCAUUAUUCGUGAACACUUGGCAAACCGAGUACGGAAGGCGCACACGGUACACCGUUGAUGAAGAAGGAAAAGGGAUGGAGCCCGAGGGCAGAGUACUGGACCCAUGAGGUCGAGAGACAUUGCUAGUUACAGCGGGCGCGUUUGUUAUGCACUAGUCAAUAAUUAUUUAUGAAUCAUCGUAAAUAGCUAUAUAAAUAAUUACCAAUAAAUGUUUAUAAUUAUAGUAUUUAUUAUUAUAUAAUAAUAAUAUUAGAUAAAUAAUUAUGUUCAUGUUGUAUUAUUUACCAUUAUAAGUCCCCAAUGUGAGCACGUUUUGUUCCAACGUCAGAAAUACCCUAAAGUACUUGAUCCCUUUGAGAUGUAUAUGUUCAUGUCAAUAAACAUACUUGAAGGUUGCUGUUUAGUUAUUUUUAAAAACCUCAUGUUUGUCUUGUUUUGAGUCACAGGUGACAUGUAUGUAUAUAGUAUAUAUAAACAUGCUUAGAUUGAAAAUGAACGUGUCUUGAGAAUUGCAAAGCAAUGGGUGAAGACGUUUGGGAAAAUAUGUAUUUAGAAGUAAUUAUGUAAUGGGGGAAAAAAACAAUCGAAGAAAGAAUCCUGAAUAUUUAGGAAAAAGAAUA
Non-coding RNA from Procambarus clarkii (red swamp crayfish), 873 nucleotides. The record is from RefSeq and is a predicted model, not a curated record. NCBI's taxonomy places the organism in Eukaryota, Metazoa, Arthropoda, Malacostraca, Decapoda, Cambaridae.